UACGGAGGGGGCAAGCGUUGUUCGGAAUUACUGGGCGUAAAGGGCGCGUAGGCGGCUUAUCAAGUCAGGCGUGAAAUUCCCGGGCUCAACCUGGGGGCUGCGCUUGAUACUGAUGAGCUUGAAUGCGGGAGAGGAUAGUGGAAUUCCCAGUGUAGAGGUGAAAUUCGUAGAUAUUGGGAAGAACACCGGUGGCGAAGGCGGCUAUCUGGCCCGUAAUUGACGCUGAGGCGCGAAAGCGUGGGGAGCAAACAGG
RNAcentral lists this ribosomal RNA (253 nucleotides) under uncultured bacterium. Its description in RNAcentral is "partial 16S ribosomal RNA". It matches the Rfam family "Bacterial small subunit ribosomal RNA", at positions 524 to 776 of the family's 1533-position model. The record is from RNAcentral.